AUGUUGCUACGUACGUCGAGGAGGAGGAGCACUGGGACUCUGCAGGCAGCCCGUGGUUCUCAAGCCAGGUGGCGUGGCGGAACAAUGGGUGGGUAUGCAUCUCAGUACUCACAUACUGGUCCAGUCCGGGGAACAAUGCGAUUCCUAAGGCUCGUAAGGCAGCCAAGCCAGUCGGAACACUGCUCCACUCAUGUCUCUGCUGGAGGCAAAGUCAAAUCUUCUGCUGAAGUGGUUCUAGAACAGACCCAGCAACGCAUGGGCGUAAAGGUUUCCAACUAUUUUGCUAAAGAUACUACUUGA
RNAcentral lists this ribosomal RNA (300 nucleotides) under Triticum aestivum (bread wheat). RNAcentral describes it as "partial small subunit ribosomal RNA". Lineage: Eukaryota; Viridiplantae; Streptophyta; Magnoliopsida; Poales; Poaceae. The record is from RNAcentral.